GAGACUCUGUGCGCGUGCAUAUCAAUAAGCGGAGGAAAAGAAACUAACAAGGAUUCCCUUAGUAACGGCGAGUGAAGCGGGAAGAGCUCAAAUUUGAAAUCUUCAAGGUUUUACCUUGACGAAUUGUAGUUUAAAGAAGUGUUUUCUGUUGGAGUUUUGGUAAAAGUUCUUUGGAAUAGGACAUCAUAGAGGGUGAGAAUCCCGUAUUUGACCAUUAUUUCAGCUGUGUGAUACACUUUCAAAGAGUCGGAUUGUUUGGGAAUGCAGUCCAAAAUGGGUGGUAAAUUUCAUCUAAAGCUAAAUAUUGGCGAGAGACCGAUAGCGAACAAGUACCGUGAGGGAAAGAUGAAAAGAACUUUGAAAAGAGAGUUAAACAGUACGUGAAAUUGUCAAAAGGGAAGCGUUUGACACCAGUGUUGUUUAGUUGAAAAUCAAUUCAAUAGUUUUUGAUUCUAAGUAGUAUUGACUUCAUCAGCUUGCUGCUUUCUUCUCAGAAAUUAUUGAAUGCACUUUUCAGUUAACAAGUCAACAUCAAUUUCUUUUGUUGUAAAAGGGUAAGAGGAAGGUGGCUUGCGCUUCGGCUCAAGUGUUUAUAGCCUUUUAUCUCUGCAAUCGGAGAGAUUGAGGUCUGCAGCGUAGAUCCUUCGGGGUUAGAUACAUUGGUGCUAAGCUAUAGCCUUGUAUAGACAACUUGUUGACUAUGCUCAGUCAUGUAGCUUACUCGCUGAUGCUAUUUUACCUACGCUUAGGAUGUUGAAUCUGUGCGAGACUAC
RNAcentral lists this ribosomal RNA (773 nucleotides) under uncultured Neocallimastigales. RNAcentral's name for it is "partial large subunit ribosomal RNA". It matches the Rfam family "Eukaryotic large subunit ribosomal RNA", at positions 23 to 644 of the family's 3401-position model. Lineage: Eukaryota; Fungi; Neocallimastigomycota; Neocallimastigomycetes; Neocallimastigales. The record is from RNAcentral.